UACGUAGGGUGCAAGCGUUGUCCGGAAUUAUCGGGCGUAAAGAGCUCGUAGGCGGCUUGUCACGUCGGGUGUGAAAGCCCGGGGCUUAACCCCGGGUCUGCAUUCGAUACGGGCUAGCUAGAGUGUGGUAGGGGAGAUCGGAAUUCCUGGUGUAGCGGUGAAAUGCGCAGAUAUCAGGAGGAACACCGGUGGCGAAGGCGGAUCUCUGGGCCAUUACUGACGCUGAGGAGCGAAAGCGUGGGGAGCGAACAGG
This 253-nucleotide ribosomal RNA is filed under the name uncultured bacterium. RNAcentral describes it as "partial 16S ribosomal RNA". It matches the Rfam family "Bacterial small subunit ribosomal RNA", at positions 524 to 776 of the family's 1533-position model. The record is from RNAcentral.